This 468-nucleotide ribosomal RNA is filed under the name uncultured bacterium. RNAcentral describes it as "partial 16S ribosomal RNA". It matches the Rfam family "Bacterial small subunit ribosomal RNA", at positions 28 to 507 of the family's 1533-position model. The record is from RNAcentral.
GACGAACGCUGGCGGCGUGCUUAACACAUGCAAGUCGAACGGUGAAGCUCCAGCUUGCUGGAGUGGAUCAGUGGCGAACGGGUGAGUAACACGUGAGCAACCUGCCCCUGACUCUGGAAUAAGCGCUGGAAACGGCGUCUAAUACUGGAUACGAGAAGGGUCCGCAUGGGCACUUUCUGGAAAGUUUUUCGGUUGGGGAUGGGCUCGCGGCCUAUCAGCUUGUUGGUGAGGUAAUGGCUCACCAAGGCGACGACGGGUAGCCGGCCUGAGAGGGCGACCGGCCACACUGGGACUGAGACACGGCCCAGACUCCUACGGGAGGCAGCAGUGGGGAAUAUUGCACAAUGGGCGAAAGCCUGAUGCAGCGACGCCGCGUGAGGGAUGACGGCCUUCGGGUUGUAAACCUCUUUCUGCAGGGAAGAAGCGAAAGUGACGGUACCUGCAGAAGAAGCACCGGCUAACUACGUG